Halichondria panicea is the source of this 982-nucleotide long non-coding RNA. RefSeq lists it as uncharacterized. NCBI's taxonomy places the organism in Eukaryota, Metazoa, Porifera, Demospongiae, Suberitida, Halichondriidae. The transcript is spliced from 3 exons. The record is from RefSeq and is a predicted model, not a curated record.
AUGACGUAAUCUACCGUUGGUCCAUUCAUCAGAGUCCAUUGCCACAAUCUGGAAAGUGUAAUACCUCUCUAACUUAGACUUCUGGGUUAGGCCAGAUGUCCGUGGCUUAACUGUAUUCAUACCUGAAAUGCCGUGAAAAUUUUGAAUCGUCAUUCACAAAAGAAUGAAUUUAGGAUUACUGUGAGGUCUGUUGUGGAGAUGGUUAGAUAUCUGUUCACAAUACCUGGAGUCAUCAGCAGCAGGUUGUGCCAGGACCCCGUUAAAUUGGCCAACAAAGACAGAGGGGUAAAUCCAACGAGAACCCGAAUGUUAGUGAAUUUGCUAAGAACACACAGGCUCUUCGGGUGAUCAACAGCACAUGUGCAACAGUUAGAGGCAACUGCUGAAAGACAAUAGAAGACGACCAUUGCAGCUAGGUGAUGAGAAUAACCCAUUCCCAAAAGAAGGCACAAGCAUAAUAAUUAUUGUAUAGAGAAAUCAAUUGUUCACAUGUUCAAUCACAUUCACAUGUUCAAUUCUUAACUGUGAUAAAUAAUUGUUCAAUUCUAUAAAUUUAACUGUGCAUGAUAAUUAAAUGAUGCUGCAGAGUGUCAGGACUUCAAUUCUGAGUAGAAUUUCACAGUAAAAGCCCGAACCAUCACACUAUGUUCAGAAUCCUCCAACGAAACUAUCAACGCAGAAGCUGUGUUGAGGGCAACUGCUUCCUCUGGUGAUGAAGCUUUGAAUCUAUGUACUCUCUGUCAAAACAGUCUUAAAAGCUUCCUUAAACCUACCUGCAUUUACAUGAAAAGGAAAGAAAGUAAGUGGAAAGUAAUUAAUUAUUAUUUAUUAUUAACAAACAGUUCAACAUCACUUACUCUGAAAUGGAGCCGGAGCACUACUUUCCAUUGUACAGUGCAAAUGUAGACCUGAGCUAGAAAGCCAUUCUUGAGAACUAGAAAGCCAUAUACUCGAAAUCAGCUGGCUGGAACACAAUUUUUAU